GUGCUUGCACCUUUCAAGCGAGUGGCGAACGGGUGAGUAACACGUGGAUAACCUGCCUCAAGGCUGGGGAUAACAUUUGGAAACAGAUGCUAAUACCGAAUAAAACUUAGUAUCGCAUGAUAUCAAGUUAAAAGGCGCUACGGCGUCACCUAGAGAUGGAUCCGCGGUGCAUUAGUUAGUUGGUGGGGUAAAGGCUUACCAAGACGAUGAUGCAUAGCCGAGUUGAGAGACUGAUCGGCCACAUUGGGACUGAGACACGGCCCAAACUCCUACGGGAGGCUGCAGUAGGGAAUCUUCCACAAUGGGCGCAAGCCUGAUGGAGCAACGCCGCGUGUGUGAUGAAGGCUUUCGGGUCGUAAAGCACUGUUGUAUGGGAAGAAAUGCUAAAAUAGGGAAUGAUUUUAGUUUGACGGUACCAUACCAGAAAGGGACGGCUAAAUACGUGCCAGCAGCCGCGGUAAUACGUAUGUCCCGAGCGUUAUCCGGAUUUAUUGGGCGUAAAGCGAGCGCAGACGGUUGAUUAAGUCUGAUGUGAAAGCCCGGAGCUCAACUCCGGAAUGGCAUUGGAAACUGGUUAACUUGAGUGUUGUAGAGGUAAGUGGAACUCCAUUGUA
Molecule: ribosomal RNA, 614 nt
Filed under: Leuconostoc sp.
Lineage: Bacteria; Bacillati; Bacillota; Bacilli; Lactobacillales; Lactobacillaceae
Description: bacterial SSU rRNA
Rfam family: Bacterial small subunit ribosomal RNA
Source: RNAcentral